Molecule: long non-coding RNA, 785 nt
Filed under: Marmota monax (woodchuck)
Lineage: Eukaryota; Metazoa; Chordata; Mammalia; Rodentia; Sciuridae
Source: RNAcentral
UAAUUACUGUGGUCUCCCAAGUUGCCUAUUCUACAGGCAUUUAUCACCAUUCCUGGCCCCACAGCAUAUCUCUUUUUUAUUGGAGACAAGGUUUUGCACUGUUUGAUCUUGAACUCGCACAAGGUGGCCUUAAAAUUUUAAUCAUCCUCCUUUAACUUCUUAAAUAUAUGGGAUUAGUCAUGUGCCAUGAUCCCAGUUAUUGUUAGUUUUUUGAGUAAUAUGCACAGAUUUUCAUAUCAGUUACCAAUUUACUUGCACACACCCAUGCAUAAGUGUUGAUUUUUCUCCACAUCCACAUUGGUGUUUGUCACUUUUCUGUUAUCCAUUUUGACUGCGUGAGAUGAUACCUCAUGUAUUUUUUUUUUCUUGUGGUGGUGGGGACUAAACCCAGGAUCUUGCGCAUGCAAGGCAAGCACUCUACCUACUGAGCUAUUUCCCUAGCACUCCUCAUUGUAUUUUUUAUUUGCAUUUUUCUGAAGGCUAAUUAUAUUGAACAUUUUUCUAUAUGUUUACUGGAACUUUUUGUUUCUUCUUUUGAAACCUGUCUACUUCAUUUGCCCACUCGGAUGGCUUUACUUUUUUGAUUGAUUGUUUGGUGUUAUAAAUUUUUUUUGUACUUUACAUAUAAUAAAUAUGAAGCUUGUAUCAAGUGCAUACUGGGCAAAGAUUUUCUCCCAUUUAUAGGGAUUCCUCCUUUUUUAUUUGCUGUACAUUAGCUUUUUAGUUUAAUGCCAUUUUCUUUUUUUUUUUUAAAUUUUGAAAUUAUAUCCAAAACAUUUGUUGUC